RNAcentral lists this ribosomal RNA (497 nucleotides) under uncultured bacterium. RNAcentral's name for it is "partial 16S ribosomal RNA". It matches the Rfam family "Bacterial small subunit ribosomal RNA", at positions 28 to 507 of the family's 1533-position model. The record is from RNAcentral.
GAUGAACGCUGGCGGCGUGCCUAAUACAUGCAAGUCGAGCGAACGGACGAGAAGCUUGCUUCUCUGAUGUUAGCGGCGGACGGGUGAGUAACACGUGGAUAACCUACCUAUAAGACUGGGAUAACUUCGGGAAACCGGAGCUAAUACCGGAUGAUAUUUUGAACCGCAUGGUUCAAAAGUGAAAGACGGUCUUGCUGUCACUUAUAGAUGGAUCCGCGCUGCAUUAGCUAGUUGGUAAGGUAACGGCUUACCAAGGCAACGAUGCAUAGCCGACCUGAGAGGGUGAUCGGCCACACUGGAACUGAGACACGGUCCAGACUCCUACGGGAGGCAGCAGUAGGGAAUCUUCCGCAAUGGGCGAAAGCCUGACGGAGCAACGCCGCGUGAGUGAUGAAGGUCUUCGGAUCGUAAAACUCUGUUAUUAGGGAAGAACAUAUGUGUAAGUAACUGUGCACAUCUAGACGGUACCUAAUCAGAAAGCCACGGCUAACUACGUG